This 483-nucleotide ribosomal RNA is filed under the name Escherichia coli. Its description in RNAcentral is "partial 23S ribosomal RNA". It matches the Rfam family "Bacterial large subunit ribosomal RNA", at positions 757 to 1238 of the family's 2925-position model. Lineage: Bacteria; Pseudomonadati; Pseudomonadota; Gammaproteobacteria; Enterobacterales; Enterobacteriaceae. The record is from RNAcentral.
UAACACUAACUGGAGGACCGAACCGACUAAUGUUGAAAAAUUAGCGGAUGACUUGUGGCUGGGGGUGAAAGGCCAAUCAAACCGGGAGAUAGCUGGUUCUCCCCGAAAGCUAUUUAGGUAGCGCCUCGUGAAUUCAUCUCCGGGGGUAGAGCACUGUUUCGGCAAGGGGGUCAUCCCGACUUACCAACCCGAUGCAAACUGCGAAUACCGGAGAAUGUUAUCACGGGAGACACACGGCGGGUGCUAACGUCCGUCGUGAAGAGGGAAACAACCCAGACCGCCAGCUAAGGUCCCAAAGUCAUGGUUAAGUGGGAAACGAUGUGGGAAGGCCCAGACAGCCAGGAUGUUGGCUUAGAAGCAGCCAUCAUUUAAAGAAAGCGUAAUAGCUCACUGGUCGAGUCGGCCUGCGCGGAAGAUGUAACGGGGCUAAACCAUGCACCGAAGCUGCGGCAGCGACACUAUGUGUUGUUGGGUAGGGGAGCG